UACGUAGGGUGCAAGCGUCAAUCGGAAUUACUGGGCGUAAAGCGUGCGCAGGCGGUUUGCUAAGACCGAUGUGAAAUCCCCGGGCUUAACCUGGGAACUGCAUUGGUGACUGGCAAGCUAGAGUGUGGCAGAGGGGGGUAGAAUUCCACGUGUAGCAGUGAAAUGCGUAGAGAUGUGGAGGAAUACCGAUGGCGAAGGCAGCCCCCUGGGCCAAUACUGACGCUCAUGCACGAAAGCGUGGGGAGCAAACAGG
This 253-nucleotide ribosomal RNA is filed under the name uncultured bacterium. Its description in RNAcentral is "partial 16S ribosomal RNA". It matches the Rfam family "Bacterial small subunit ribosomal RNA", at positions 524 to 776 of the family's 1533-position model. The record is from RNAcentral.